Long non-coding RNA from Ictalurus punctatus (channel catfish), 4122 nucleotides. RefSeq lists it as uncharacterized. The record is from RefSeq and is a predicted model, not a curated record. Lineage: Eukaryota; Metazoa; Chordata; Actinopteri; Siluriformes; Ictaluridae. The transcript is spliced from 4 exons.
CCUCAUCUCCAGCUCACUGUACAAAUGUUCAACGGUUAGUGUUUUGAGUUAUACAUUUCUGCGACACGACGAAUUUCAAAUUGUGACAAAAAACCGCAGUGGAGAAAGCACCAAGAAAACCCCGACCCCGCGCCCGAAAACACGUACUGUGACAGAACCUACAGCUCGGCGGUUGAGACGAUUGAUCGAGGAAACUGAUCGGGAGGAUUCACUGACAAGCUGCUUCCCACAUUAGUCACUCUGUUUCUCUGUUUUUCACACUCACUCCCUGAUUAACUCUUGAGAAAGGAGAGGAAUGGGAUAAGAGCCCAGGCCCACUGCAGAGCGAGAGAAAGAGAGAGGAAGGAGGGAGAGGCUGGGGCACAGGAUAAAACUGCUCAUCCAUACAGAAUGAUGGAGUGAUUGAGUGUCAGUGCUGCUUGCUGACUUUCACUUUUCCUGCAGGAACUCUUGCCUGUUCCUUCCUCUUGCUCCUCAGCUGCACCUUUACUUGAUGUUGUGGGAAACGUUCCAGUGUUGACAUCACCAUUCUCAAGCAGAUAUUGCCUCAUGGGGAAAAUAUCCUAACUCUAGGUUAAACCCCUCAUUUUUCAGCACAGUCACAUGGAAUGUGUCUUUUAAAAAAUAUAUAUAUAUUUUUUUAUUUCAUCGCUCACACUCUGUCACUCUUUCUGCUCAGAGCUGUUGAAUUCAAACAGUGCCGUGUUCUCACAUUUUGAUCUAAUCUAAUAAGUGUAUGUAAUAGGCUGUAGACAAGUCAUUCUUGCCAGUACUGAACCCAAACCAGUUCAGAUCCUUCAGCAGCCAGAUUCAUAUCCAAUAUCAGUAACAAGAUCAGUAGCACUCCAGUCUAGGUACAUUAUGGACCUACUCAGGGGUGGAUAAAAUCAUAAAUUAAUUAGCUACCACAAUAGGCAAAGGAAAAGGCUUCAGUGUGCUGCCCAGUCUUGAGGUUAGGUUUCCCUGGAAACUGACUAGGCCAAAAAGUGAUAAGUUGGCUAACAUUUCAGCUAUGAGACAUGGUGUUGUGUCCUCGCAGUGCACAUGAAUGAUAUUAUUUAAGUCUGGCUAGCUUCUUUAUUUUACCUCUUAAUAUGAUUAACCAUACGGUGACUUCUGGUGAAUGCUGUGUACGUUAUUUUUUCUGUUUCAUUGGUGUUUCCAUGUAACUGUGUCUUCCUGAUUAGGAAAAAAUGUCUGCCGUCCCCACACAAUAAUUAGUAGAACUGUCAGGACUGGUUUCAAUAUUCUAAAUAAGGCACUAUAGUUAGAGCAUCAAGGUGCAUCACAGCAAACUGAAGUGUGCUUACUUGAACAGUGCUUACUUAUUAAAUGAAAACAUUCAUCUCGCGAAAGUCAAUAAGUAGUAGGCCGCUUUUAUUUUUUGUCUUUUUCUAGUUGUUGAACCUAUUUGAAUAAAAAAUGAAUAUUCAAAAAAAAUAAUGAUAUUAGCAAUAUUUCAGAAAAGUGUAUCAUGACAUAAUUUCUCACAAUAUUGAUAUUCAAUUCAAUUUUAUUUGUAUAGCGCUUUUUACAAUGGUCAUUGUCUCAAAUGAGCUUUACAGAAACGUAUAAACAUGGGAUACAGAUUUUAAGUGUGUGAAUUUAUACAAAUUGAGCGAGCCGGUGGCGACGGUGGUGAGGAAAAACACCCUAAGAUGAUAUGAGGAAGAAACCUUGAGAGGAACCAGACUCAGAAGGGAACCCGUCCUCAUCUGGGUAACACCGGAUAGUAAAAGAAAGUUCAUUAUGGUAUGAGAUGCUAUAUGAUAUGAAAGAGAGCUAGAUUUCUUCAACACAUGGGAAAGCCCUGAGUGACAAACAUAUUAAAUGAAUAAAUAGAGUCCUGGUUAAAUUUAUCCUUUAAAGGUGAAAGGUCAUAUCAGGCUUUCCACUAGAUUUUGGAGCGUGGCUCCAUCCAGUGUGGGGAUGUGUGAUCAUUCAGCUACAAGAGCAUUAGUGAGGUCAGGCACUGAUUUCGGGUGAGGAGGCCUGGGGUUCAGUCAGUGUUCCAGUUCAUCCCAAAUGUGUUCAGUUGAGUUGAGGACAGGGCACUGUGCAGGACACUCGUGUUCUUCCACAACAGCCUUGGCCAACCUUGUCUUCAUGGAGCUCGCUUUGUGCAGAGGACCAAUCACUGCCAUGCUGGAACAGGUUUGGAUCUCUUGGUUCCAGUGAAGGGAAACUGUAAUGCUGCCUCAUAUUACAAAGACACUUUGUACAAUUCCAUGCUUUCAACUUUCAAUGUGGGAACAGUUUGGGGAAAACCACGUGUGUGUGUGUAUGUGAUGUACAUCAAGUGUAUUGGCAGAGUCCAUUCAGCUUUAAUAUCACAGGAUGAUUCGUCGCACUUCAGUCUUGUGUGUUUUUAAAGUACGUGCUCUGUGUUUCAGCUGUUUGUGUUUCCUCAAGUUUCCUCCUAUCACAACUAAUCUGGUUAUUUCCUGAAAGCAAUGACUUGCUUUAAGUAAAACAGAAUCGCUGCAUGUUUUUGAUCCUCCUAGACAGAAUGAUUUCUUUCAAUUAACAAAGUAUAUAGAUCAUUAAACCUGAACCAGGAUUAUAUACAUAUUGCUCUGGAACAAAUUACAUCCUUAAAUAUAGUAUGUAAGGCUUUUUAUUAUCCGUUUGCAUUAUUAUUUUUUUGUUUAGGAAGAAUGCCUGGAUUUAAUUACUUUGUCACUGUUAUUGUAAGUAAACAGCAAGCAGACAUAGAAGUGGAAGCGGUAAAAGAGUGAAAGAGAAGAUUCUGCAUGACUGUUUCUGAAAGUAUUGAGCACUCCGUCGAGGGUGAAUUUGUUCUUCUUUACUGACUUCGACUUUGCAACACUGACUCUUUCUCUCUUUUUCUCUCUUCUUCCUUGAUUUAUUAGACCAUCAUGGUUUCUCAUGUCUUUGUGUAGCCUGUCUCUUGCCACAUCUCUUCACUCUUUUUAUUCUCUGCUGCACGGAUGAUGUAUCUGAGGUAUGUUUUACACGUGCCUCGCAGUGUAAUCAGAAGUGUGCUUUGAGUAUGCCUCGCGUGAGUCAGGCAGUCGUUUUAGCAAUAGCACUCAUCCAGAUCACAGUGAUGGAAACAAAAUAUAUGCAAAGUGUUAACAGUAUCCCCGGCUCUGUUUGGAUUUGUUUUGUCAUUUGUCAGUUUGUAUUUGAAUAGAUUAUAUUCACUUCUACAAAGUUGCGAUCAAAAUGAUACAACCCCCAUUGCAAAUCAGGUUAAUUGUCAGAAUUGACAGACUUUCAGCUGUUUGCGAUGAACAAAUCAAACAAAAGCAAUCGAAAUAGUUCGACACAGCGAAUGCUUCAAGUGGUUUCCCCGAAUUCAACUGAAAAUCGAUUGCAACUGUAUUUAGCCUUCCUUUUCAGAACCUAACUACACAAUGAAACCAAACUAUUUACAAAUGGUACGAAUGACCACAACUGAAGAGUUUUAUUCAGAUGUUAGCUUGACCUUACGAGGUCACAGUUUGGGCCAGUGUGGACAACUCUUUUCUCUUUGAGCCAGUGCAAGCUCAAAAUGACGCUACAAAUUGACAGAUGACUCCAUAGACUAAUUUGCAUCUUAAUCAUGUUUAUUUGCAUAGCAAAACAUGUUUCAUGAAGAAGGAAGGUUUUCUGAAAACAGAAUAGAGUAAGUGUUAUCAGAAUAUACCAAAAUAUGGAUUAGAACAUCUGUCAUAGAAAGACAUUGUCUUUGGUCAUGGCAACACAAAGAAAUGGUAGUGUUCACUUCCAGUCAGCCUGAUUAGAAUGACUGGCAGUCCCGUGUGGUCUCCAUGUAAAACUGAGGCAUUAACAACGCCCUUGCCAAGCAGCAUUCCCUCGAGCCAGAAUACACAAGGUGUUUCCUUAAUCUUCCCUCUAAUGCAACUCCGCAAGAUAGUCUAGAUGAGUCUGGUUCUAUUUAUAUCUCCAGCUCAUCUUUCCUAAACAUGACUUCUGACUGGAGUUCACAGUUCUUACACUCCUUACGUCAGUAAAUCACAGAUCUAUUGUUUACUAUCAGAUUUGGCAUGUCCUGUAUAGUGGAGCUUUGUUGUGUGUCUGUUCAGCUGAUGCCAUCAAAUGCAUUAAGCCUGAGUGGUUUCUGUGUGGUUUUACUUUUUAUAAGGUCUUUUUUUU